GACGAACGCUGGCGGCGUGCCUAAUACAUGCAAGUAGAACGCACAGUUUAUACCGUAGCUUGCUACACCAUAGACUGUGAGUUGCGAACGGGUGAGUAACGCGUAGGUAACCUGCCUGGUAGCGGGGGAUAACUAUUGGAAACGAUAGCUAAUACCGCAUAAUAUUAAUUAUUGCAUGAUAAUUGAUUGAAAGAUGCAACUGCAUCACUACCAGAUGGACCUGCGUUGUAUUAGCUAGUAGGUGAGGUAACGGCUCACCUAGGCGACGAAACAUAGCCGACCGGGGGGGGCGAGCGCCCCCUCUGGGACUGCGCCCGGCCCCAGACCCCUGCGGGCGGCAGCGGGAGGGAUUUUUCGGCAAGGGACGAAGGUCUGACCGCGCACCGCGGGGUGAGGAAAGAGGGUUUUGGGAUCGUAAAGCUCGUUUGUAAGAGAAGAACGGGUGGGGGGGGGAAAAGUACACGCUGUGACGGUUUCUAACCAGAAGGGGCCGGCUAACUACGUC
RNAcentral lists this ribosomal RNA (505 nucleotides) under uncultured bacterium. RNAcentral's name for it is "partial 16S ribosomal RNA". It matches the Rfam family "Bacterial small subunit ribosomal RNA", at positions 28 to 507 of the family's 1533-position model. The record is from RNAcentral.